UGCAAGUCGAGCGAACAGAUAAGGAGCUUGCUCCUUUGACGUUAGCGGCGGACGGGUGAGUAACACGUGGGUAACCUACCUAUAAGACUGGGAUAACUUCGGGAAACCGGAGCUAAUACCGGAUAACAUUUGGAACCGCAUGGUUCUAAAGUGAAAGAUGGUUUUGCUAUCACUUAUAGAUGGACCCGCGCCGUAUUAGCUAGUUGGUAAGGUAACGGCUUACCAAGGCAACGAUACGUAGCCGACCUGAGAGGGUGAUCGGCCACACUGGAACUGAGACACGGUCCAGACUCCUACGGGAGGCAGCAGUAGGGAAUCUUCCGCAAUGGGCGAAAGCCUGACGGAGCAACGCCGCGUGAGUGAUGAAGGGUUUCGGCUCGUAAAACUCUGUUAUUAGGGAAGAACAAAUGUGUAAGUAACUGUGCACAUCUUGACGGUACCUAAUCAGAAAGCCACGGCUAACUACGUGCCAGCAGCCGCGGUAAUACGUAGGUGGCAAGCGUUAUCCGGAAUUAUUGGGCGUAAAGCGCGCGUAGGCGGUUUCUUAAGUCUGAUGUGAAAGCCCACGGCUCAACCGUGGAGGGUCAUUGGAAACUGGGAAACUUGAGUGCAGAAGAGGAAAGUGGAAUUCCAUGUGUAGCGGUGAAAUGCGCAGAGAUAUGGAGGAACACCAGUGGCGAAGGCGACUUUCUGGUCUGUAACUGACGCUGAUGUGCGAAAGCGUGGGGAUCAAACAGGAUUAGAUACCCUGGUAGUCCACGCCGUAAACGAUGAGUGCUAAGUGUU
Molecule: ribosomal RNA, 786 nt
Filed under: bacterium W15M34_F
Lineage: Bacteria
Description: bacterial SSU rRNA
Rfam family: Bacterial small subunit ribosomal RNA
Source: RNAcentral